This is a long non-coding RNA of Daphnia pulex (common water flea), 1020 nucleotides long. RefSeq lists it as uncharacterized. The record is from RefSeq and is a predicted model, not a curated record. Lineage: Eukaryota; Metazoa; Arthropoda; Branchiopoda; Diplostraca; Daphniidae. The transcript has 4 exons.
AAAAGGCGAGUUGUUUUGUAAACAGCAGACGCUAAUGGCCGUUCGAGUUCGACGAAGAAUUGAAGUCCAUAAGACCAUAACUAAGUAAAUAUAGUAAACAUUCUCUUAACAUAAAUCCGGUAAUUAAUAGUCUAAAAGCUUUGGGUGAUUCAUCAUUCAACACCAUUUCAAAACAGGGUGUGGAAGUCAACAGCUCUAAAGUCGAAAGGAAUAAAAAUAUUCCUCUGGUUCCAAGUUUAGAAAGAACAGCAAAUGACAAAAAAUGUGUUGUUUUUAUCUCAGCAAAAAAGAAAUGCACUUUACUCUUCGAGCCAAGUAGGCCUACCUAAUCCUUUACUUUGAGAGAUGGCUUUUUGUGGGCCCCGUACUACUGUAUUACGGUUGAAUUCAAUGACAUGUUAGAUGUUUUUUUUCUGUUCAUCUACUGGGAUUUAGGAAAAAGAAAAUAACACUUUUCUUAUGUAAUUUUUUUUCUUUUUUUUUAAGUUAAAGAAUUCGUAUUGUAUUUGGAACGCGUCAAAAUGUCUAACUCGCUGUGCUUUCUCUCCCGUGUCAAAGUAGAACCUGUUUCCAUGGCAACUACCGAUCCGAGAGAUGCUGUUUCGACCGUGACUUCCGCCAUUUUUACCAUUUGGAAAUUUAAUUCAUUACGCACAACUGAGAAAAAUUACCCUCCCAAAAAAAAAAAAAAAACAUAAAGAAAAAGCCAAGAAAACCAGCACACAUUUCUUCUUGACUUGUCUACUUUGCCAUUAUAUCCAUCCACUCUCUUGCAGUACACUUAACUCUGAUGGUGGAUUCACAUUAAAACAGCUCUAGCGUUCAAUGCUUUCAAAAUGCACUUAACAAACGCGCACCCCUUAUAUAGUUCUUAUGUUUCUUGUUUUGUUUUUUGUCUUCGCCUUUUUUAUUUAUUGUAGUUACUUUGUUUUUCUUCCACCUGCAUGUACAAAUCACUAGUUUUGAUGGAUCAUAUUGAUUAAGUUAUAUUUAUAUUGCAUACAUAUAUAGGUAUAUAUA